RNAcentral lists this ribosomal RNA (647 nucleotides) under Escherichia coli. Its description in RNAcentral is "partial 23S ribosomal RNA". It matches the Rfam family "Bacterial large subunit ribosomal RNA", at positions 1 to 690 of the family's 2925-position model. The record is from RNAcentral. Lineage: Bacteria; Pseudomonadati; Pseudomonadota; Gammaproteobacteria; Enterobacterales; Enterobacteriaceae.
GGUUAAGCGACUAAGCGUACACGGUGGAUGCCCUGGCAGUCAGAGGCGAUGAAGGACGUGCUAAUCUGCGAUAAGCGUCGGUAAGGUGAUAUGAACCGUUAUAACCGGCGAUUUCCGAAUGGGGAAACCCAGUGUGUUUCGACACACUAUCAUUAACUGAAUCCAUAGGUUAAUGAGGCGAACCGGGGGAACUGAAACAUCUAAGUACCCCGAGGAAAAGAAAUCAACCGAGAUUCCCCCAGUAGCGGCGAGCGAACGGGGAGCAGCCCAGAGCCUGAAUCAGUGUGUGUGUUAGUGGAAGCGUCUGGAAAGGCGCGCGAUACAGGGUGACAGCCCCGUACACAAAAAUGCACAUGCUGUGAGCUCGAUGAGUAGGGCGGGACACGUGGUAUCCUGUCUGAAUAUGGGGGGACCAUCCUCCAAGGCUAAAUACUCCUGACUGACCGAUAGUGAACCAGUACCGUGAGGGAAAGGCGAAAAGAACCCCGGCGAGGGGAGUGAAAAAGAACCUGAAACCGUGUACGUACAAGCAGUGGGAGCACGCUUAGGCGUGUGACUGCGUACCUUUUGUAUAAUGGGUCAGCGACUUAUAUUCUGUAGCAAGGUUAACCGAAUAGGGGAGCCGAAGGGAAACCGAGUCUUAACUG